This 1080-nucleotide long non-coding RNA is filed under the name Neodiprion pinetum (white pine sawfly). RNAcentral's name for it is "uncharacterized LOC124213861, transcript variant X3". Lineage: Eukaryota; Metazoa; Arthropoda; Insecta; Hymenoptera; Diprionidae. The record is from RNAcentral.
ACGAACAAGCCGGACGGGCCAGCGUCCGUCGGGCUAAACCUAACCUAACCUUUAACUGUUACGGUUGUUUUGCUUCCUUUUUUAAACCUUAUAAACAAAGGAUUAUCACGUCCCCACCGCAAUUUUAUAGCUACGUAAAUAAAACUAUACCGCCGCCAUAGAAGGUGUGAGAGCACAACUAGGUCUAUGGGACGUUGACAAUGACUCCAUCCCUGUCACAAGGAACCGCUAUACGGAAACUGGGAAAAUUGGUCGUUGAAUUCUUCAAUAAUGAAAUAAUCUUCGUACAUUGCUGUAAUCAACAAAAACGAAAUCUCAACUCGAAGGAGGACAACAAUGUACGUAGGCAAUAGCUUCUCUAUAUUUUGUGUACGUACGUAUGUCGGAGUGUGUAUCAACUUACCAGACAGUGAAGGGGUUAAGAAGGCCACUGAAAAACCAUGGAAUUCAUUCCAAAUGGAAUAGUAUUUAAUGAGCGGGGUUGAGAUUGUCGGUUUUUUUUCGAAUCAAGGCCGUUGACUACAGAAUAUGAAGACAGUUUCCCUAAUGGCUUUGGUGUGACAACCGAAAAUCGUCGUGCGCUUGCGCUCCCGAAGAUGUUCCAACGGUAUUGUUGAAAACAUAUUGCAGAACAUCAGAGAGUUACCGAUUUUGACCCGAUACUGGCUGCAUUCACCUUCCCAGUAACACAGUCUUCGCAAUGGUGGUUGGCGGUGGUUAGAGGUGGUCGGAGAUGGUUAGGGGUGGUCGUUGGUGGCGGAUGGCGGCGGUUGGAGGUGAUCGAGGUAGACAAGGAGGAGGACAAGGGGGAGAAAGACGAGGAAGACAAGGAGAACGAGGAUUUCUGCACGACAUAACCAGAGGUGGUCAGCGGUGGUCGUUGAAGGUGGUUGGCGGUGGUUGGAGGUGAUCGGUGGAGCUUGAGGGUGGUUGCGGGUAAUCGUGGGAAACGAGGAGUGGGAGGACUAUUGCACUAUUCCGACGUAAUUUUGCGAGAGAAUUCGAUUGGGCGUAGUACUAACACGCUGCGAUCAACGCAUCAAAAUUUACAGCCAGAAAACGAGAACCUGAGUUUUCGAC